CCGCUCCCGCUUCUCCCACCACACUUCCCUGCAAGCUGAGAGAAGCGGCUCUGGCCUUGGGCAGCCCAGAAAGGGGCUCCCUCAGUGCAGCGGUGGGCUGAAGGGCUCCUCAAGUGCCGCCAAAGUGGGAGCCCAGGCAGAGGAGGCGCCCAGAGCGAGCGAGGGCUGUGAGGACUGCCAGCACGCUGUCACCUCUCAGAACUAUUUACUCAGAAUGAGUGAAGAGACAGUCUUGCUCUGUUGCCCAGGCCGGAGUGGAGUGGCACAGUCAUAAUUCCCUGUACCCUUGAAAUCCUGAGCUCAAGCCAUCUCCAUACCUUAGCCUCCCAAGUGGCUACUACAGGACUGACUGAUAGUAUUUUCCUUUGGAAGAUCCUUUUAUAUUCUGUCUCUAUGAAAGAAGUGUUUUCAAUGAAAUAAGGCUGCUAUGAAGAAAUACCCAAGACUGGGUACUUUCUCAACUUUCAAAUUGAGCUGUUCAGAAUGUGUGAAACAAUUUUAAGAUGAAGUCAAAGAUACUUGAAGCAGAAGCUGUAUCUGAGGAAGCUGUAUAUAAACCCAAUUUAAAGCAAGUAAGUAGGUCAAUAUGAUUCCAGAAAACAGGCAUUGCCAUUAGAAGACAAUUAUUUAGUAUUCACAACCUUUUUCUUGGGACAUUUAAAAUUAGAAACAGAUUGGAGCGGUAUGUCUGCAUGUAUCAUCCAACUAACAAAACAACAAAUGCCUUAGGUAAGAUGGCUCAUUUCAGAAAGAUAUUUUUAAAUGAGAUUGAGUAGGACUGGGGCAAAAUAUCUUAUAGGUAAGAAAAAAAGAGUACGGAUUCAAUGGCUAAAAGAAAGAACAAACAAACAAAAACAAAAUAGAAACAGAAAAAAAACCUGCCAGAAAAGAGAAAACAAUCCUAGGAAUAGAGUAUUCAUUAGAAUAUAAGAGACUAGUAAAAUUAAAUUGUAGAGAUUAGGUAGAAACUUAAAUACAGAAAAUUAUAGUGCUGAAUUAAAAAUGAACUUUUAUGA
RNAcentral lists this long non-coding RNA (1016 nucleotides) under Homo sapiens (human). RNAcentral's name for it is "HSALNT0209944". The record is from RNAcentral. Lineage: Eukaryota; Metazoa; Chordata; Mammalia; Primates; Hominidae.